CUUGUCCUCCCCAAAUUAGGGGUUGUGGGUCACAAAGGAAGAAAGCAUCAGAUGUCACCCCUACUGCCAUAUCUAGUAGGAGAUACAGCUGAGACAGUCGGCAGCCCUGCAACUCAUUAUACUCGCUCCUGCAGGGAAUGAGGAUUUUGGU
Long non-coding RNA from Amphibalanus amphitrite, 151 nucleotides. RefSeq lists it as uncharacterized. The record is from RefSeq and is a predicted model, not a curated record. The transcript is spliced from 3 exons. NCBI's taxonomy places the organism in Eukaryota, Metazoa, Arthropoda, Thecostraca, Balanomorpha, Balanidae.